Molecule: ribosomal RNA, 478 nt
Filed under: uncultured bacterium
Lineage: Bacteria
Description: partial 16S ribosomal RNA
Rfam family: Bacterial small subunit ribosomal RNA
Source: RNAcentral
GAUUAACGCUGGCGGCGUGCAUAACACAUGCAAGUCGAACGAUGAAACUUUACUGACUUCUUCGGAAUGAUUUAAAGCGGAUUAUUGGCGAACGGGUGAGUAACUCGUGAGUAACCUGCCUUACACAAGGGGAUAGCCUCUGGAAACGGAGAAUAAUACCCUAUGAAACCAGACAAUCGCAUGAUAAUCUGGUCAAAAUGUUUAGUGGUGUAAGAUGGACUUACGUCUGAUUAGAUAGUUGGUGAGGUAAAAGCUCACCAAGGCAACGAUCAGUCGCCGGCUUGAGGGAGUGUACGACACCCUUGGGACUGAGACCCGGCCCAGACUCCUACGGGAGGCCGCAGUGGUGAAUUUUGAACAAUGGGUGAAAGACGAAUGCCGCGAGGUCGCGUGAUUUAGAAGGCCUUCGGGUUGUAAAGAUCUUUUGUAUAGGAAGAAAAUGACAGUACUAUACGAAUAAGACCCGGCUAAUUACGUG